Molecule: ribosomal RNA, 384 nt
Filed under: uncultured prokaryote
Description: bacterial SSU rRNA
Rfam family: Archaeal small subunit ribosomal RNA
Source: RNAcentral
GCGAAAACUUUACAAUGCUGGCAACAGCGAUAAGGGAACCUCGAGUGCCAGGUUGCAAAUCUGGCUGUCGAGAUGCCUAAAAAGCAUUUCAUAGCAAGGGCCGGGCAAGACCGGUGCCAGCCGCCGCGGUAACACCGGCGGCUCGAGUGGUAACCGUUAUUAUUGGGUCUAAAGGGUCUGUAGCCGGCCGGAUAAGUCUCUUGAGAAAUCUGGCAGCUUAACUGUCAGGCUUUCAGGAGAUACUGUCUGGCUCGAAGCCGGGAGAGGUGAGAGGUACUUCAGGGGUAGGGGUGAAAUCUUGUAAUCCUGGAAGGACAACCAGUGGCUAAGGCGUCUCACCAGAACGGACCUGACGGCAAGGGACGAAAGCUAGGGGCACGAACC